GAGAGAGAGACAUGCGCGCAUAUCAAUAAGCGGAGGAAAAGAAACUAAUAAGGAUUCCCCUAGUAACGGCGAGUGAAGCGGGAAGAGCUCAAAUUUGAAAUCUUAAAGGGUUUCCCUUUACGAAUUGUAGUUUAAAGAAGUGUUUUCUGUUGAGGUUUUGGUAAAAGUUCUUUGGAAUAGGACAUCAUAGAGGGUGAGAAUCCCGUAUUUGACCUUUACUUUCAACUUUGUGAUACACUUUCAAAGAGUCGGAUUGUUUGGGAAUGCAGUCCAAAAUGGGUGGUAAAUUUCAUCUAAAGCUAAAUAUUGGCGAGAGACCGAUAGCGAACAAGUACCGUGAGGGAAAGAUGAAAAGAACUUUGAAAAGAGAGUUAAACAGUACGUGAAAUUGUCAAAAGGGAAGCGUUUGACACCAGUGUUGUUUUUCUGAAAAUCAAUUAAAGAACUGUUUAUGCUAAGCUGUUUAGACUUUAUCAGCUAACUGUUUAGUUUUGAGCUUUUCUUUAAUGCACUUUUCAGUUAACAAGUCAACAUCAAUUUCUUUUGCUGUAAAAAAGCUUGAGGAAGGUGGCUUGAGAUUCGUCUUAAGUGUUUAUAGCCUCUUGCCUAUGCAGUCGGAGAGAUUGAGGUCUGCAGCGUAGAUCCUUCGGGGCUAAAUGCAUUUGUGCUAAGUUAUAGCAUUUUAUAGACAACUUGUUGACUAUGAUUUGUCUUGUAGCUUACUCGCUUAUGUUAUUUUACCUACGCUUAGGAUGUUGACGCAUGAGAUAUACGC
This 775-nucleotide ribosomal RNA is filed under the name uncultured Neocallimastigales. RNAcentral describes it as "partial large subunit ribosomal RNA". It matches the Rfam family "Eukaryotic large subunit ribosomal RNA", at positions 23 to 647 of the family's 3401-position model. Lineage: Eukaryota; Fungi; Neocallimastigomycota; Neocallimastigomycetes; Neocallimastigales. The record is from RNAcentral.